CCCCGGGGUGUGAUGGUUAGCACAACAGACUUUGACUCUGUUAGACGUAGGUUCAAUUCCUCGCGGGGUUGCCA
RNAcentral lists this transfer RNA (74 nucleotides) under Caudoviricetes sp. RNAcentral describes it as "tRNA-Gln". It matches the Rfam family "tRNA". From Rfam's summary of the family: Transfer RNA (tRNA) molecules are approximately 80 nucleotides in length. Lineage: Duplodnaviria; Heunggongvirae; Uroviricota; Caudoviricetes. The record is from RNAcentral.